This 396-nucleotide ribosomal RNA is filed under the name Alexteroon hypsiphonus (cross-banded egg-guarding frog). RNAcentral's name for it is "partial 16S ribosomal RNA". It matches the Rfam family "Bacterial large subunit ribosomal RNA", at positions 1850 to 2457 of the family's 2925-position model. Lineage: Eukaryota; Metazoa; Chordata; Amphibia; Anura; Hyperoliidae. The record is from RNAcentral.
AGGUCUUGCCUGCCCCGUGAUUUAAUUUAACGGCCGCGGUAUCUUAACCGUGCAAAGGUAGCAUAAUCAAUUGUCCCUUAAAUUAGGACUAGUAUGAAUGGCACCACGAGGGUUUAACUGUCUCCCUCUUUUAAUCAAUGAAAUUAAUCUUCCCGUGAAGAAACGGGAAUAUAUAUAUAAGACGAGAAGACCCCAUGGAGCUUUAAACUUAUUAUCACUUAUUUAUUACAACAGCAUAACAGUUAAUAAGAAUGCUCUCUAAUAGUUUUUGGUUGGGGCGACCCUGGAGAAAAAUAAAUCCUCCAGAUUGAAAAGAAUAAUAAUCCUUAUACUAGAAUUACAAUUCAAAUAAACAAAAAUUUGACAAAACUGACCCAGAAUAACUGAUCAGUGAAC